Molecule: ribosomal RNA, 497 nt
Filed under: uncultured bacterium
Lineage: Bacteria
Description: partial 16S ribosomal RNA
Rfam family: Bacterial small subunit ribosomal RNA
Source: RNAcentral
GAUGAACGCUGGCGGCGUGCCUAAUACAUGCAAGUCGAGCGAACGGACGAGAAGCUUGCUUCUCUGAUGUUAGCGGCGGACGGGUGAGUAACACGUGGAUAACCUACCUAUAAGACUGGGAUAACUUCGGGAAACCGGAGCUAAUACCGGAUGAUAUUUUGAACCGCAUGGUUCAAAAGUGAAAGACGGUCUUGCUGUCACUUAUAGAUGGAUCCGCGCUGCAUUAGCUAGUUGGUAAGGUAACGGCUUACCAAGGCAACGAUGCAUAGCCGACCUGAGAGGGCGGUCGGCCACACUGUAACUGAGACACGGUCCAGACUCCUACGGGAGGCAGCAGUAGGGAAUCUUGCGGAAUGGGCGAAAGCCUGACGGAGCAACGCCGCGUGAGUGAUGAAGGUCUUCGGAUCGUAAAACUCUGUUAUGAGGGAAGAACAUAUGUGUAAGUAACUGUGCACAUCUUGACGGUACCUAAUCAGAAAGCCACGGCUAACUACGUG